This is a non-coding RNA of Podarcis lilfordi (Lilford's wall lizard), 65 nucleotides long. The record is from the annotation of a GenBank genome assembly. Lineage: Eukaryota; Metazoa; Chordata; Lepidosauria; Squamata; Lacertidae.
UAGCUCAGUGGCAGAGCAGCUGCCUUGCAUGCAGAAGGUUCCUGGUUCGAUCCCCAACAUCUCAA